AUUAAUUAAGGUUCCCAUUCAUUCCUGCUGACACUUGCUCAUCAAUCAGAUUUCCUCUUAGCAUUCUGAUGACCUUGCUGACCUUGGUCCUCCAUGCUGUCUGCUAGACAGAAUUGAGACUCAGACCACACACACCAGAACUGAGGGAAUGGGCUCUGACUCUCGGCUUCCUGAGAUGGAGGAGAAAGGGUCUGGGGACAAAGCUGGCUGGUCCGGAGCUCUUCUGGCUGAGAACCCAGGGCCAGCCAUGGAGCUUGGAGCCCAGCCAGCUGAGCCCAGGAAACAAGGCUAGCAAUUUCUCUCUGCUAACUCAGCACUGCUGAAAGAAGUUAACAGCUCUAGUCUUCUCUCAGAAAAGUACAGGAAACUGUUCUGGAGAUGGGGGUGGCAUCUGGGACUAGUCAGCCUAAGGUGUGGGACUUUUAUUUCAUUACUUGUGCCUUUAUUCAUUCAUUAAAUAUACAUUUACCUGGCAGCCACUGUGUAUACUAG
This 492-nucleotide long non-coding RNA is filed under the name Homo sapiens (human). RNAcentral's name for it is "HSALNT0179052". The record is from RNAcentral. Lineage: Eukaryota; Metazoa; Chordata; Mammalia; Primates; Hominidae.